Molecule: long non-coding RNA, 842 nt
Filed under: Homo sapiens (human)
Lineage: Eukaryota; Metazoa; Chordata; Mammalia; Primates; Hominidae
Description: HSALNT0345021
Source: RNAcentral
AAGGAAAGCAUUGCGCAUGCGGGAAACCCACGCUGAGGGAAGAAUCAUGGGAAAGAGUAGAGACGGGGUUCCACCGUGUUAGCCAGGAUGGUCUCGAUUUCCUGACCUCGUCAUCCUCCCGCCUUGGCCUCCCAAAGUGCUGGGAUUACAGGCUUGAGCCACCGCGCCCCGCUCUUUCGUGUUCCAAAGGCUUUUUAAAUAAACUUCCACUCCUGUCCUGGAUUCUGCUUUAUGGCCCUCAGUCGAAUUCUUUCUUCUGAGGAGGCAAGGACUGAAGUUGCUUCUGACCAGUACAGGAGAAAACGAAUACAGCAGGGAUGACUUCCACCAGCUCCACUUUGCAGCUCUGAGGUGUAUUAAAAAUUUGUUUUUCAGAAACCUAGAGCCCCACCAAAUGAAUCCGCUGGCACGUGGACCUCAGAUGGGGGAAACUGAGGACUGAAUUCUGACCACCCUCCUUUGUUCUAAAUUUCUUCCUGAAGGACCUGGAAGAAGUCAUGCCACGGGCCAGACCUUAACAUUCCUUUCGGCUUACCCCAGGAUUUCAGACAAAGCUUCACUUUCCUAACCAGUCACAAAUCAGAGAAUUUUUGAUUCCACCUAUGACCUGUGAGCUCCUGCUUCAAGAUAUUCCACCUUUUUUAGGCCAAACCAAUGUAUAACCUCCAAGUGUCGAUUUACACUUUCGACUGUAACUUCUGCUUUCCUGAGAUUUACCCCUGCCUUUAAAAACCCUUGCUUGUAAUCCCUCAGGGAGGCCGUGUAUUUAUUAAUCAUGAGCUGCCCAAUUCUCCUUGCUUGGUGCCCUGCAAAUAAACACCCUCUUUUCUCCCACUGCAAAA